AGAGUUUGAUCCUGGCUCAGGAUGAACGCUGGCGAGAUGCUUUACACAUGCAAGUCGUACGAGAGUCUUUGACUCAAGUGGCGGACGGGUGAGUAACACGUAAGAAUUUGCCUUUAGGAGGGGGACAACAGUUGGAAACGGCUGCUAAUACCCCAUAUGCUUUCGAGUGAAAUGGAUUUUUCCGCCUAAAGAGAAGCUUGCGGCUGAUUAGCUUGUUGGUAAGGUAAUGGCUUACCAAGGCGACGAUCAGUAUCUGGUUUGAGAGGACGAUCAGACACACUGGAACUGAGACACGGUCCAGACUCCUGCGGGAGGCAGCAGUGGGGAAUUUUCCGCAAUGGGCGAAAGCCUGACGGAGCAAUCUCGCGUGAGGGAUGACUGCCUAUGGGUUGUAAACCUCUUUUUUCAGGGAGGAAUAAAUGACGUGUACCUGAAGAAUAAGCAUCGGCUAAUUCCGUGCCAGCAGCCGCGGUAAUACGGAGGAUGCAAGUGUUAUCCGGAAUCACUGGGCGUAAAGCGUCUGUAGGUGGUUUAGUAAGUCAACUGUUAAAUCUUGAAGCUCAACUUCAAAAUCGCAGUCGAAACUAUUAGAC
This 593-nucleotide ribosomal RNA is filed under the name uncultured Pseudo-nitzschia. Its description in RNAcentral is "bacterial SSU rRNA". It matches the Rfam family "Bacterial small subunit ribosomal RNA", at positions 8 to 641 of the family's 1533-position model. Lineage: Eukaryota; Bacillariophyta; Bacillariophyceae; Bacillariales; Bacillariaceae. The record is from RNAcentral.